Long non-coding RNA from Bactrocera latifrons, 262 nucleotides. RefSeq lists it as uncharacterized. The transcript has 2 exons. Lineage: Eukaryota; Metazoa; Arthropoda; Insecta; Diptera; Tephritidae. The record is from RefSeq and is a predicted model, not a curated record.
AUGGAAGUCAUUGCAACUGCAAUACUUUCAACAUGAAGUUCACUCUUUUUUUCGGCAUUGUACUGGCUUUGAUCGCUCUGGCUUUCGCCAAUCCGAACCCCAUGCCUAAUCCCAAUCCGGUUGCCGAUUGUGGCGAAGCCCAUCUGGAGCUCGAACAUGGCGGCAAGUAAACUGCUAAGCUGUGUGCAAUGUAUAUUCGUCGACGACCUGAACAUUUUUAGUUUAUGUUUCAAUAAAAAAAUUCCAUCUCCCUUAAGCGAAA